AAGCCUGACCCAGCAACGCCGCGUGAAGGAUGAAGUAUUUCGGUAUGUAAACUUCGAAAGAAUAGGAAGAAUAAAUGACGGUACUAUUUAUAAGGUCCGGCUAACUACGUGCCAGCAGCCGCGGUAAUACGUAGGGACCAAGCGUUGUUCGGAUUUACUGGGCGUAAAGGGCGCGUAGGCGGCGUGACAAGUCACUUGUGAAAUCUCUGGGCUUAACCCAGAACGGCCAAGUGAAACUGUCGUGCUAGAGUGCGGAAGGGGCAAUCGGAAUUCUUGGUGUAGCGGUGAAAUGCGUAGAUAUCAAGAGGAACACCUGAGGUGAAGACGGGUUGCUGGGCCGACACUGACGCUGAUGCGCGAAAGCCAGGGGAGCAAACGGGAUUAGAUACCCCGGUAGUCCUGGCCCUAAACGAUGAAUACUUGGUGUCUGGAGUCUUUAAUGCUCCGGGUGCCGUCGCUAACGUUUUUAGUAUUCCGCCUGGGGAGUACGCUCGCAAGAGUGAAACUCAAAGGAAUUGACGGAAAUCACUA
This 531-nucleotide ribosomal RNA is filed under the name uncultured bacterium. Its description in RNAcentral is "bacterial SSU rRNA". It matches the Rfam family "Bacterial small subunit ribosomal RNA", at positions 379 to 925 of the family's 1533-position model. The record is from RNAcentral.